AGCUCCGAUAGCGUAUAGUACAAUUGCUGUGGCUAAAAAGCUCAUAGUUGGAUCUCGCGGACGGGAGCGCGUCGCCGUUGGCUUAACGGUGACGUCCGCUGUCCUGGUAGAUUGCCCUCUGUCCACCCGGCGGCGCUAUUCACUUAGCGUCGGUACGGCGUGCAGGGCGCGUUUACCUUGGCAAAAUUAGAGUGCUCAAAGCAGGCUCUGAAGCUUCUAUAAAACACCAUGGAAUGAUCGAAGAUGACCACCGGGGCGGUGCCGGGCGGCCGCACCCGGGGUAAUGGUUAAAAGAAAAUAUGACGGGGGCUUACGUAUUGCGGGGCGAGAGGUGAAAUUUAAUGACCCUCGCAGGACGACCGAAAGCGAAAGCAUUUGCCAAGAAUGUCUUCA
This 393-nucleotide ribosomal RNA is filed under the name uncultured eukaryote. RNAcentral describes it as "SSU rRNA". It matches the Rfam family "Eukaryotic small subunit ribosomal RNA", at positions 587 to 972 of the family's 1831-position model. The record is from RNAcentral.